GGUGGCUCAGCAGUAGAGUGCUUGCCUUGCAUGCAUGAGGCCCUGGGUUCGAUUCCUCAGCACCA
This is a non-coding RNA of Dipodomys ordii (Ord's kangaroo rat), 65 nucleotides long. Lineage: Eukaryota; Metazoa; Chordata; Mammalia; Rodentia; Heteromyidae. The record is from Rfam.